Long non-coding RNA from Sinocyclocheilus grahami, 286 nucleotides. RefSeq lists it as uncharacterized. The transcript is spliced from 3 exons. The record is from RefSeq and is a predicted model, not a curated record. NCBI's taxonomy places the organism in Eukaryota, Metazoa, Chordata, Actinopteri, Cypriniformes, Cyprinidae.
AGGAAACGGAUCUAUUGGACAUCACCUACAUCAAAGAUGCAAGAACGGGGAAAUGCACCAAAACGCCAAAGGAGGCGAAGCUGCGGGAGCUGCUGGAUGUGGGGAAUCUGGUGGGCCGGAUAGAGAACCGGAUGCUGACGGUGGUGACGGGGCCAGACAUGGUCAACAUCCAGUACCUGAACUUCAUGGCCUUCCAAGAAGACGUCGCCAAGGAGUGGGCAGAUGAGCUCUUCAGUCUGGCGUCUAACCUGCUCGCUCAGAACAUGGGCCGAGAGUCCUGUCUGGA